This 161-nucleotide ribosomal RNA is filed under the name uncultured bacterium. RNAcentral's name for it is "partial 16S ribosomal RNA". It matches the Rfam family "Bacterial small subunit ribosomal RNA", at positions 355 to 507 of the family's 1533-position model. The record is from RNAcentral.
UAGGGAAUCUUCCGCAAUGGACGAAAGUCUGACGGAGCAACGCCGCGUGAGUGAUGAAGGCUUUCGGGUCGUAAAGCUCUGUUGUUAGGGAAGAACAAGUGCUAGUUGAAUAAGCUGGCACCUUGACGGUACCUAACCAGAAAGCCACGGCUAACUACGUG